ACUAGUCACAAAUUUAACCAAUAACUCAUUCAUUUCACUUGUGUUCAAUGCAUUUUUUGUUGUGACGUGAUCCUCCCUAGCAUGAUGCCCACACUGUAAAUGCUCCCUAUUUGGAUUACAAAAAAAAAAAAAAAAAAAAAAAAAAAAUACUGUACUACAUAGACGUCAUCAUUUUGUAAGUGGGCCAAUUUUGCAUUUUCCCCAAUAACUUCGGUUUUAUUUGGAAUUUGGGAAUUAGAUGAACUCAAGACACCCCUCUCAACAUUUUAGCAUCUCUGAACAUCAAGUCAUUUUUCUUUUUCUAAUUGCCAGCUAGGAAUGGAGGCAUCCUCUUCAAAAUCAACAAAAACGCAAUUUUAUUAUUACCAUCAUCUAGAAUUUUUCCUCCGUGUCAUGUCCUGCUUUUGUGUUGACACUUGCCUUUGUGUUUCUCAGUGUACAUCAAAAGCGAUGACCGGCCACCACGCUUUGCUGCCUAAACUGCACUUGAGAAGUACAUGUACAAACAAGUUAGGAAAAACCGCCUUGCCGUCACCGCAGCUCCAACAGGCCAGCAGAUCCCCGGCCAGCUCACGGUGACCUUUGGGAAAUACAAAGGCAAGACCUUCAUGUGGCUUACGGAGGAAGAUGUCGGCUAUGUCAAGUAGUGAGUAUAUAUAAGAAAUCGAUAAUAGGCAGUGGAUUGUGUGUCUUUGUUACCCAAAAUAAAAAAAUCGGUUUAAAACAACUACUGCAUGCUCUCUUAAAAAGUCUCCUCGAUGGCCACAGGAGGAGAGGCGACGACAGAAGGGAAGGUGCGACACCAAAACUGGGGAGUGGAGGCUGAAGGAGCAGCUUCUACGCUACGUGGAUAUGUUCCCUCCGGUGUCAUGCCACUUGGAGCAGAACAUCGACCGGGCCAUCUGCGGGCAUGGCCGCUUCCGGUCCUUCACGUUCGAGGAUAUGUGGCAGUGUUAUGACUUCUCCAAGCUCAUCCGUAACGAUCUCCAGGCCGAAAGCGCAGAAGAAUGGAAGAUGGCCCUGGAAGCCUUCUGGUUUGUGCGUCAGUGGCUACUGAUGACGGAGUAGGACAUCAAUGUCACGUUAAGAGAUUUCGAUUGUACAUCCUCACAAAGGAGGAGGAGCGAGCUAAAGGCAAAGUUGCACCAGCUACGCCCCUCACGUCAGCUUGUGCAUCAGCAUUAGCAGCAUUAUCAACAUGACCUGCUGUAGCAAAUACACCAUCAUCAGCAGCAGCAGUAGCAGCAGCACAACAACAAGCACCACCACCACAAGGUGAUGAUGAAGACUGGCAAUGUAAAAUAGUACGCGCCUGGGCCGCUUUGUGGCCAAUCCGCACAGGGUCACAAAAAAUAUUCCAAAAAAAAAAAAAAAAAAAAAAAGGGCCUACACGGUCAAGGCGUCCACGUCCAAAGGACUUUCUGGCAGGUCUUUUGAAAACUUUGUAAAUUUUAAGGAGGCAGUCAAUGACCUUAUAAAAUAAAAUACAUUGAUAUGUACUUCAUGUCUCAGCUACUUCUUUUUACACACACAAAUAUGCAGUAUGUUCGGCAUAGCAUAUAGUCCUGUAUAUUGUGCACUUUCCCAAUGAGUGCAGACAGAAAAUUAAAAACCUAGUCCUUAUUUCUCAACACUUCAAUAUCUGCAAAACACUUGCUUAUCAUUAAACUUAUUUAAGACUCAAUACAGGCUGCUUAACUUUUACUGUGUACUAUAGCUCCUGUAUUUAAAUACAAGAAAAAAACUGGAAUUUGAGUGUAAUAACAAAUACAUUUAAAGCAUACAGAGAUUGGGAAAAGUCCUAAUGCCCUUAAUUGAAAGUGGGGAAAAAAUAGGCCAAGACAACACAACAGCUAAAACACAGUAAUGAUGAAAUCUAUAAUGCUGCGCUUCGGACC
Corythoichthys intestinalis (scribbled pipefish) is the source of this 1898-nucleotide long non-coding RNA. RefSeq lists it as uncharacterized. The record is from RefSeq and is a predicted model, not a curated record. The transcript has 3 exons. NCBI's taxonomy places the organism in Eukaryota, Metazoa, Chordata, Actinopteri, Syngnathiformes, Syngnathidae.